GGAGGUAUAACUCAGAGGUAGAGUGCAUGCCUAGCAUGCACAGGGCCCUGGGUUCAAUCCCCAGUACCUCCA
This 72-nucleotide transfer RNA is filed under the name Camelus bactrianus (Bactrian camel). It matches the Rfam family "tRNA". Rfam says of the family: Transfer RNA (tRNA) molecules are approximately 80 nucleotides in length. RNAcentral also lists the same sequence under 3 other names. Lineage: Eukaryota; Metazoa; Chordata; Mammalia; Artiodactyla; Camelidae. The record is from Rfam by way of RNAcentral.